This 253-nucleotide ribosomal RNA is filed under the name uncultured bacterium. RNAcentral describes it as "partial 16S ribosomal RNA". It matches the Rfam family "Bacterial small subunit ribosomal RNA", at positions 524 to 776 of the family's 1533-position model. The record is from RNAcentral.
UACGGGGGGUGCAAGCGUUGUCCGGAUUCAUUGGGUUUAAAGGGUGCGCAGGCGGGAGAUUAAGUCAGGGGUGAAAGACGGUUGCUCAACAAUCGCAGUGCCCUUGAUACUGGUUUUCUUGGGUGACCUUGAGGUAGGCGGAAUGGGUGGUGUAGCGGUGAAAUGCAUAGAUACCACCCAGAACUCCGAUUGCGAAGGCAGCCUACUGGAGGUUAACCGACGCUCAGGCACGAAAGCGUGGGGAUCAAACAGG